Non-coding RNA from Plectropomus leopardus (leopard coralgrouper), 658 nucleotides. NCBI's taxonomy places the organism in Eukaryota, Metazoa, Chordata, Actinopteri, Perciformes, Serranidae. The record is from RefSeq and is a predicted model, not a curated record.
AGCUAGGCUGUCCACUGUGUUAAAGGAUAGCAACAACAUGACUGAGUGCCAUGCUGGAUUUUUCAGUCUUAGUUUCUUUCUUGCUCUAAUUGUCUCUCUCUCCUCUCUCUUUUAAGAAUCACGUUCUGUGCCGUUCAUCUUACGCCAGUAAGAAGUUCCAAGUCAGUUUGAGAGAGUGUGAAUUCUAUCCCCCAAAGGACACUACUGCUCUUGGCCCUGGUGAGCAGGAGCGUGUAUGCAUGACCAGUCAGGCUGCAGGGCCUCCAGGGUUUCCCAGUCUCCCAGAUCUCCCUGCUCUUCCCGAUCCCCCUAGUGAUCCUUAUCCCCAUGGUGGCAUUCCUGUCCCUCCUGGAUUGGUACCUAGCAGGUCCAGGAGAAGCUUGGGCUUUAAUAGGCCCGCAUUGGAUUCCUACCACCCCCUAAGUCCCAACCAUCCCUGCCAUGGAUCCGACCAAUCUCUCCACCACAUUUGCCCCUGGCCUCUUCCUGACCAACAACAAACCCCAAGAAGCUAAGCCUGAGAAACACACGCUUAAUGAAUCACGAGUGACUGAUCCUAACCAGAAAACUUCUAGAUCAGUCUCUGAUGUAUGUGAGAAAUGCUUAAGUACUUACAGCAUAAUACAGAACACGUAAAAUAAACCAUCUAGGUGUCAAA